CAGUAGCCGCGGUAAUACGUAGGGUGCGAGCGUUAAUCGGAAUUACUGGGCGUAAAGCGUGCGUAGGUGGUGGUUUAAGUCCGUUGUGAAAGCCCUGGGCUCAACCUGGGAAUUGCAGUGGAUACUGGGUCACUAGAGUGUGGUAGAGGAUAGUGGAAUUUCCGGUGUAGCAGUGAAAUGCGUAGAGAUCGGAAGGAACAUCUGUGGCGAAGGCGACUAUCUGGGCCAACACUGACACUGAGGCACGAAAGCGUGGGGAGCAAACAGGAUUAGAUACCCGCGUAGUCCCUGUCUCUUAUAC
This 301-nucleotide ribosomal RNA is filed under the name uncultured bacterium. Its description in RNAcentral is "partial 16S ribosomal RNA". It matches the Rfam family "Bacterial small subunit ribosomal RNA", at positions 509 to 807 of the family's 1533-position model. The record is from RNAcentral.